This 253-nucleotide ribosomal RNA is filed under the name uncultured bacterium. RNAcentral's name for it is "partial 16S ribosomal RNA". It matches the Rfam family "Bacterial small subunit ribosomal RNA", at positions 524 to 776 of the family's 1533-position model. The record is from RNAcentral.
UACGUAGGGUGCUAGCGUUGUCCGGAAUCAUUGGGCGUAAAGAGCGCGUAGGCGGCCAGAUAAGUCCGGUGUGAAAGUCAAAGGCUCAACCUUUGAAUGCCGCUGGAAACUGUCUGGCUAGAGUCCGGGAGGGGCGAGUGGAAUUCCUGGUGUAGCGGUGAAAUGCGCAGAUAUCAGAAGGAACACCAAUGGCGAAGGCAGCUCGCUGGAACGGUACUGACGCUGAGGCACGAAAGCGUGGGGAGCAAACAGG